GAUGAAGAACGUAGCGAAAUGCGAUACUUGGUGUGAAUUGCAGAAUCCCGUGAACCAUCGAGUCUUUGAACGCAAGUUGCGCCCGAAGCCACUAGGCCGAGGGCACGCCUGCCUGGGCGUCACACGCCGUUGCCCCCCCAUCUACUCCUUCGGGAUUGCGAGGGGGCGGAUGAUGGCCUCCUGUGCGCCUAGCCGCGCGGUUGGCAUAAAUACCAAGUCCUCGGCGACGCACGCCACGACAAUCGGUGGUUGCGAAACCUCGGUUGCCCGUCGUGUGCGUUCGUCGCGCAUCGAGGGCUCGAAAAAAUGCUCGGCUCCGGCUGGGCUUUCAACGCGACCCCAGGUCAGGCGGGGUUACCCGCUGAAUUUAAGCAUAUCAAUAAGCGGAGGA
This 391-nucleotide unclassified non-coding RNA is filed under the name soil metagenome. RNAcentral describes it as "partial contains 5.8S ribosomal RNA, internal transcribed spacer 2, and large subunit ribosomal RNA". The stretch from base 1 to 122 matches the Rfam family "5.8S ribosomal RNA", at positions 35 to 154 of the family's 154-position model. The record is from RNAcentral.